AUGCCGCUAGAGUACCUAUGCUGCGCGCAUGGUCGUAAAAGUAUACAAGACCUAUUGUAUACGACACUACGUUGAAAGCUUACACAAACAUACUUUUCACAUAGAUACGAAUGUUGCGCACAGUGGCCCAGACUGACAGCUGGAAGAACGUGAAACAGGAGUGGCAGAUCAUGUAAGGGGCACUUAGUCAUAGACUGAAACUUGAUAAUUCACGAGCAGACGCGCUACUAAGAAUACAUUAGAAGAGUUGACAGGAUAGGCAGAAGAAAGCAGAGCAGUGGGGGAGGGGGUGGGAGAACAAGAGGCGGUAUGACACGACCCCCUAAUAAUGACAACCUUAUGACCUUCAAAUUGGUCGUGGUUGGAGAUGGAGGUGUUGGAAAGAGUGCACUCACUAUACAAUUCUUUCAAAAAUUAUUUGUCACUGACUAUGAUCCUACCAUUGAGGAUAGUUAUAUUCAACAUACAGAGGUAGAUAAACAAUGGUGCAUCUUAGAUGUGUUAGAUACAGCUGGUCAAGAAGAAUUCAGUGCCAUGCGUGAACAAUACAUGCGCAAGGGUGAUGGGUUUCUAUUAGUAUACUCUGUGACUGAUAAACAAUCUUAUGAAAAUAUCAUGAAUUUUUAUACCCAAAUACUUAGGGUAAAAGAUAGAGAUGUAUAUCCUAUGCUUCUGGUAGCCAAUAAAGUUGAUUUGGUACAUUUGAGAAAAGUUACAGAGGAACAGGGAAGGGAGUUGGCUCACCGGUUGGGUAUACCUUAUAUUGAAACUUCUGCCAAAGACCCGCCAUUAAAUGUAGAUGCUGCAUUCCAUGAGGUCGUUCGUAUUAUCAGAAAUCAACCUCCAGCCGAAUUGGAAAAAAAUCGGAGGAAACGAAGACGUUCGGGGAAAUGUAAUCUUUUAUAAACCUUGAAAACGUUGAAAUGAAUUGGGUAAUGAUUACACGUUACCUUUCAUCACUUCUUUCAUAAUAAGUGAAACGCACCUGCCAAAAAACAAAAAAAAAAAGGAAAAUGAAAAAAUGGGUCUUCUGUCCUCCAUCGUAUAUAGAGGUCUGAUAUAAAAUAUUUAUCGUGUUCGAGUGCAAGAAAUAUUGCUCGAAGUGUUAAGUUUAGCCAGGAAGUCGAGAGAUUAUUAUAUUAUUACAAAGAAGGAUGUGCAGUGAACGAUAUAUUGCGUUUGAAAUAUAAGUAAAAUUUUUUUUAAAAAAAUUUGUCGCAACAAUUUCUUUUCGUUCAUUUUAUCUUAUAGAUUCCAAAUGUUUCUUCUCUAUUGUGCGAGUGCAGUGUGCGAAUUUUAAUUAUGUCAGACCUUUUUACGUAUAUUGGAGAAAUAAUGCCAUGGCCUAUCUUAGUAUUUAAACGUGAAAAGGGAAUUGUGUGUGUAAAUGAAAUUUAAUGUUAUAUGUGAAUGCAAGUAUCAAACAGUGAAUUAUUUUUCGUGCUUAUACGGAUUCGAACGUUGCAAUCUGUCGUGCAUAAUAUUCGUCUUAUAUCUUUUACGUACUCAAUACGUACUGUAAAUUAUAAGAUUAUCAAUGAGGAGAUUAUGACAUGAAUGGCUCGUUUAAUUAUUUUCCGUUGAUAUACGGACAUAAUAAUAAGUAUUCGUUUGCAGUUUUAACUUUCUCAUCGAAAGAAUUUAUUCACGGAUCGUAAAAUUUAUACGUAAAAUAUAAUUCGCAACAUAACACAAUGAAUAUUUCUUUAUUGUUAAUGACGUUGUUUGUAAUGAAUACGGAAAUAUGUUGAGAAAAUAGGAGACGAAAAAGCAGUUUAUUAAUUGCUUUAGAUUUUUUUUUUUUUAAUAAGAAACUAUGUUUCAUUUUUUUUUUUUUUUUUUACGAUAUAUAGCUUAGUAUCUUAAAUAUCUUUAUGUUUCUUAUCGAGAUUCGAUUACAGUAUCAUAUUUUAGUGUACGCACAAAGUGCUUUACUUAUACGUAGGAACGGUGUGAAACUGAAUAAUAAUAUGUAUUAAAUGGUAUGUACGCGCAAGAUGUGCAAAAAUAUCUUGGCGCCACCGAUUAAUUCUAACAGUGAAACAUAUUUGCCUUGAGAUAAAAAUAAUUUGUAUUGUAAACGAUGAAGGGGAAUAACGAAGGAAUCUGGCUAGUUGCCAUACGUAGAAAAUCCACUUCGAUAUUCUUUAACGAUAACAAAAAAAAAAAGCGAUUAUUGUAUUUUAUGACCAGUUGAACGUCGGACAGAUUUAGAUUUGAUAAUAUUCUUCGUUAAAAAGAAAAAAAGAAAAACUGCAUAGAUAUCAUUCGUCGAAGUGCAACGAAGUAUUAAAGAAAAAAGAAAAAAAAAAAAAUAGAAAAAAAAAUAGAAAAAAAAAAAAAAAAGAAGAACUGAAAACGACGACUAUUUUGCUCUAUUGAUACUUUCCGUUCCGUUUCGCCAAUGAGAGGUUCAUAAAUUAAGAAUGUUAUUUCAGCUAAUCUAUUCUCUUAGAUUUGGAGUAUGCUCAAUGCGUAGUCUAAAAUUGCACUGCACGAAUAAACAAUUGUACAAAUUUUGCCGAAACGUUUUUACGAACAUUACAAACUUGAUGAUUCCGUUGUUACAGUUUCAGUACGAGGAUAUUCGCGAAUCGUAUAUCGUUCUGCAUAAAAUUUGCAAAUUGUACGCUAGCGUACAUUACUAUUAUUGUCCAUCCACGAAAUUCAGCGAACGUGUGGGCAAACCGAAUUGAUUUCUGCAUCGCGCGCGGAUGUAUUGUCCGCGCGAUAUUAAUACGGGUUACAUGUACACAUUUCUCUCGCAAGGUGAAACAAAUCGCGCUGCUUCAUUUAAAGCCCGUUCAUUCGAUAGUAGAAUGUUGCCUCGCGAAUAAACGUGGACCAUCCAUUUCACCCGAUCAAUUGGAAAUUUCUACGUUUGUAAUAAUGAUAUUACAAAAGAACGUUUCUGCGUAGAUCCAAUUAAAAUUAUUAAUCGAACGAUGCCCCAGUGGCCUCGGAUGGAUGUAAAGUCGUUGUUUCGUUCCGUUGUGAACUUGUUUUUUUUUUUUUGUUUUUUGUUUUUUUGUUUUUUUUUUUUUACGAAUGAAUUAUACUAUUACGCGUUAAGGAUUAAGAAAUGAUUAUAACAGCGAUCAUUAUUGGGGAUAAUAAGAAAACGAGAGAGAGAGAGAGUGAGAGAGAAAUGUAUAAUAUACGUGGAUAUUGUGAGAAAAUUUUUAGACACUCAGGAUUUAGCGUUCCUCGUAUGUUGUAAUAUGUAAUCUGUAAACAAAAGCGCUACGUUUUUUAUCGCCGUCCAUGAGAGAGGUUUGUGCAAAAAAAUAGAGGCUCAUCUCUGUGGUUACAUAUGCAAUAUGUACGACACAAAUAGAGACGAUACACACGCAUAUAUCGCAUAUAUUGAAUCGAAUACUUCAACGAGUAGUUCAACGACGAAAAUUAUACGACGAUCGAGACGCAUCGUAUCGACGUUGGAGAAGGGAAAUCGCGAACGCUCGUGGCGUUCAUUGCGACAAACUUUUAGAACGUUUAAAAAGAAGGGAAGGCAAAGAAGAAGAUUAAUCUAAAUGAAAUAGUCAAUACGUUGAAUCAUUGUGAUACCGAGUGGAGAAGACGCAAAGUAUAUAGUUGAACGCUGUGGUUGUGCGAGUCAUCGAAGUCAGUUGGAAUUAUAAAUAAAAUACGUCUUUCUUUCAUCUGCCAAUCUAGGAGGCGAGGAUUUUAAAUUUGAAUGAAUUUCGAGGGGGCCGAAUCGAAAUAAGAUACAUUGACGAAACUUCGUUACAAGGAGAAACGAUCAACGUGAUUCAUUCAGCGAAUAUUUGAGCAGCGAAUCUCUGACUUCGUUCUCGUUUUCUCCCAGUAUUGACUAGUUAUCUAUUAACACAUUCGAAUACCGCACAUACAGUAUAGCUAUUGUCGUUAAUUUUUUUAAUAGAAAGAACAAAAAAAAAAAAAAAGAUCAUAUAAUGACGCACAGAAAACAAUGAACUACGCAUAAUAAGAGAGUUAAUAUAAGUUUGAGAUGGAGUACGAUCGUCUCCACCGUUCUUGUUCUAUAGAUAGUGACGAAAAUAUAUACAUAUUAUACAUAUAUGUAUAUAUAUUUUGAAGAAUGAAGAACAAAAUGAAGAACGAAAAUUCCUCCCCAAUGAUAGUUAUAUACGAGAGAUGCUGGCAUAUAUAUACAUUGUAUAUGUAAAA
Molecule: unclassified non-coding RNA, 4170 nt
Filed under: Apis florea (little honeybee)
Lineage: Eukaryota; Metazoa; Arthropoda; Insecta; Hymenoptera; Apidae
Description: ras-related protein M-Ras-like, transcript variant X4
Source: RNAcentral